Long non-coding RNA from Xiphophorus hellerii (green swordtail), 4716 nucleotides. RefSeq lists it as uncharacterized. The record is from RefSeq and is a predicted model, not a curated record. NCBI's taxonomy places the organism in Eukaryota, Metazoa, Chordata, Actinopteri, Cyprinodontiformes, Poeciliidae. The transcript is spliced from 3 exons.
UGUAGGAAAUUGUUGUUGUUGAGACAAAACCGGUUUCUUAGUGCUGGAGUUUGUAGGAACAGAACAAUCUGUUGAUAAGCAGGAAGAUGUGCAGGGAAUCUGUUCAAAGUUCAGAAUAAAAUGUGUCCCUGUUCGGGUGAAUUUGGUCCAAAUAACCAGGAUGGUCACCAAACUGUCCACUGGGGGGCGCUGACAGGAAGUUAAUGGAUCCAACCUGCAGAUAGUGAUUCAACCGCUACAGGUAUAAAACAGGGUCUGAAAGCCUGAGCGGGGGUCGGAUGUGAUUCAUGUUUGUCCCUGUUUGUGUUUAGAUGGCUGCCCUGAACACUGAACUCAAACAGAUCUUGGACAACAAAGAGAGACGGUGUCCAAGAUCAACAGACUGAGUCACACGGAGGUGACGUCAGAGCAACCGAGCUGCAGGUUGAACCUGUUGCAGCCUGCCGCCUUUUCAUGAUGCAGCGUUUUGUUUAGAGGACGUCGAUGUGUUUCCUGCACAAUCCGUACCAGAUCACGUUGCUGCUGAUCGGAGCUGGAGCGCCGCCCGGGAUCACCGCCACACAUUCCUGCAGGAGGCGUCAGCGCCGGAGCUUCCUGCAGAUUCGUUUCUGUUCAUGGAGAAACCAGGAUUUCAGGCAGAGGGCAGAAACUUCAGAGGGGAAACCCCGCCUGACUUCCUGCCGCCCCGUUCUUCUUCUUCUUCUUCUGCUGCUGCUGCUGCUGUGGGAAAAUGACUCUGUGAAACUGACUGUGAUGGUGGAGCUGAAACUGGUAAAGUGGAGCCGAUAAAUGUUGUAUAAAACGGGGUUUGCCUUGUUUUAGCUGGCAGAGGAGCGCCAACAUCUGCUUUUUGUUACGACUCUUAUUCUAACCUUCAGAGCUCGUUUUGGCCGUUCUGAUUCAACAGAAGUGAAAACGUUUCUGCUCUCUUUAAGGUUUAAACAAUAUUAGUUUGCUGAACUCUGCAGGACCUUCACUUCUGGCUCAGCGACAGAAAAAAGAAUGAAAACUAAUUUACUUUAUCAACAAUAUUCAAACUGACUCUUUUUAGAAAAGUUGUGAUGCUGUUCUUAAACUUUAAAGAUCUAAAAAUUUCAACAAAUAAUAAUAAUUCAACAAAUAUUUCACAUGAAUACAUAAAGUAUCUCAGUCCCUUCCUCAGAUAAUCCUCCUCCAGGUGACUCCCACACACUCCUCCUCAGCAUCUGAGCUACACAUAUAAAGGCCUUACCACACACACACACACACACACCCACCCACACACACACACACACACGCAGAGCAUGACCUCUGCAUUGUGACAACGCUCUGAGUCAUCAGCCUUCGGUAGCAGAUGGACGUGGAGCAGAGGACUGAAUCUUGCAACGAUGCAAAACAGGAAAACAUCAAGACACUUUAGCAACAAUUAAGAUGAUUUUAAUACUAAAUGCAAUCAUGAAAAUACAACACAGACAUUUAAACAGAGCAAAGCUCGACAGGAAACAGACAAAAUAUUUACAGUGCAAUGAUUAAACUAUUCAGAAAUAAUGAUAAAAACCUGGUUAUUAGUGUUGCUUUGAUUCUUUUGAGAAAUCCUUUAAUCUCCAUGGCAACCAUUCUGUUUGCAGAAACAUUUCUCCAACCGAGCCUCACAGACCCAUUCAGCUCCUCUAGACUAGCGGCAGCAGCAGUUAGCAAACACCUGGUGGAAGUAUGACUCAUUUUACAAACUACUUUUCAGUUUCUACAUUCCCAUUAAAAAUGUGUGCAAAAUUAUGCAAUUAUUCUGCUCAUUGUUGCAUCAAAUUAGAAAAGCAAUUAAAAUCACUCGUGAAUAAGUUUGUUCAUGUGAUGUCAUUGAGAAACCUGCAGCGCUGUCAUCCUCCUCCCACUUCCUGUUGUCUUCUUCAUCGUCUCUGCCAGUAGUAACAAGCAGUUGUUGAUCACAUGACUUGUGGCAGUUUUGCAAAAUAGAAUAAUUUAAUGCAGCUGAAAAAAUCAACCUCAUUUUAGCGCAAAAAUGUUUUAAUUAGAUUUUUUUUUAGUUUGAAAUUGUCGACUUUCCAUUAAGCAAAUUUGUUUUCAUAACUCCAAUUUGUGCGAUUGUGUGGUCAAUCAAAACUGUGGUAAAAAAAAUUAUGACUUCCUGAAGGUGGAGUCUCUGACAGAACAGGAGCUUCUUAAAGAGACAGAGGCCCAAUUUCAAGUCAAAUUUCUUUUAAGUCAAUUAUAUGUAUAUUUUUCAUAACAACUGAAGGUAACAUAGUUACUUGAUUGUGCUAUGAAGUGGCACUAUAUGCCUGGAAAUAAAUGAUACUGCACCUUUAAUAUCUAUUUCCACCCCACUAAUCAGAACGUCUCCAACCAGAUGGGAUGUUUCCACCAAACUCAAACCCUGAGCAGCUUUUAGUUGUUUUUAUUGUGCAGAACUUGCUGCGGUUCACCUAGCAUACCCUGACUCGUGUUGUCUGCCUCGGCAGCCAGCAGGGCCGGACGCCGGCCUUUUCCUGCCGUAACGUUUCACUUCGUCUUUCAGGUGAAGUGGAAAUGGGAAGGAGUUGGCCGCUGAUUGGAAACACCUGGUCGUUCUUGUUUACACCUGGCUGCUGCUCUUACUGGGUUUGUCCUCGUUUUCCCGUCAGCAGACAUGACAGGUUCUUAGUUUGGUUUAUUUGCAUCAAACCAUAAAACACUUCUACAUUCACUUUUCUAUAUUAGUUAUUUAUUUAGUCUUCAGUAUAUUUAGUAAAAAAAACACUUAAAUUUCUGUGACUCCUCCUUUUGUGAGGCAGGUUUUAGUAAAUCUAAGGGUUUUAAGUACCUGAACAAAACCUAACAUCCAGGUGGAACUGAGGAAGCUUUCUAAUCCGACCUGAGAUUUAUGUGCUACUAUCGGCAGUAAAUAUUAGUUCACACUCAUCAUCUUAUCUGGGUCAGAAAACAAUACGUGGAAAGCAUGAAGCAUAAAUAAAUCACAGCCUGCUUUUCUGCAUACUGUCAAAACAAGGACAGCCUUUUGAGAUGCAGCUUUCUGACAAACUUUCUAGUUUAUGAAUUAAAAACUGAUUAUUUUAAAUAUAAAAUGCCUCUUAUGGUAAUAUGUUGACCUUUGUGUAACUAGAAAAAUAAGACGGAGUACUUUUGAUAAUUUAUACCACAAUAAAUGACAAAGAGGAUAGAUUUUUUUUAUUAAAAAAAGUCUGUCGUUUGUGAGCAUAAAGUUUACCAAUGUGGUUUCCUGCUGAUUUUUUAUGUUUUCUUUAAUUGAGGAACAUCUACUGAUGUCAGCAGAUUAAGCAAAUCAGUUGCAGCUACAUCCAAAUAUCCUUCUGUAUGUUUUCUCACUAUAAUUAGCCUCAACUGAAGCAUUUUUUUCUUUUAAACCCAUCAGAGUAACAAUGCUGGUCAGAAGUGGAGCAGCAAUUAUAUCAAAUGUCUAAAUACUGCCUGAAUCUAUGUGAGGAAUUACACUGCUGCAACUCAACAUUUCUCCUGUCUUUCUGUUUCUGACUGGAUAAGCCACUAAAUAAAUCUUCAGUUUGUAAAUUUACACUGCAGCUGGAGACUUUGCUGUCAUCUUUUCCUUCCUACGUGAUUUUUCUUUUUAAAUUGACAACUGUGUUUCAGUUUUUUGUUUUGUUUUUUACAUAUCUUUCAACAUAAAGAUUAAUAUAUCUAUAAUAAGAUAAAGGAAGCCUGACCUGGCAGGGAAAAGUUGAAAAGAAUUGUAAAAAACGAGUUUACUGCACCGAAUUGUGGUGUUAUUAAAGCCAUUUCCUGCCAGAGCUGAACUGAGCUGUGCAUGUUAGCUUUGCAACUUUUUGGACACUUAAAUUCAUAAAACCGUUUAAUCUUGGACUCAGAUGUUGUGCAGAACGUUUGUUAACUCCAGACCUGUGCAGCGUCACCUCAUUAGCUGAGCGGUGCCGUUUCUCAUGUUGGACUGAGACGGUUUGUUUCCAAUUGGCUGCAGAAACGGUUCAGCUCAGGCUGCUGCAGAGUUUAAUCAGCAUGUUAAUGUGGGGAUGAGAUGAGAGCCACUCAUCAGCUCAGCACAGACAUUAAGAACAACACAGGUUAUUCAUUGAAGUGAGAAAAGCUUCUCACCUGCCCAACUGGGUGUGUUUGAGUCAGAACAGCUCAGGAUCUCUGUGUUCUCCCUGAAUAAAAGGCUUUUUUAUUCUGAUGUUCUGAUUAGCCGCCGCCCUCCAGCUGGAAGUGGUUUCACAGUGACUCACCGGCGAUGGCUCGCAUUUCUGCAGCCGCCGGGAAAAGGUGUUCAGGCUUUACAAGUCGAGCUGGACUGAACCGGGAUAAAUUAUGUAGGACGGUUUCGGUUCUGCAGACAUUUGGGCUCAACAAAGAGAGCGUGAAGCAAACAGGAAUGUUAAAUAUGUGGCGUCUGCAGAAAGGAAACGGCUGCUGCUCCCAGAUGACCUUGUUCCUGCGCAGUAGGAACAUGUACAGGCAUGCCUUUACAGAACAGAGAGUCCAAAAUAAAAGAUCUGUUGGCAACGGCUGGAAUGUGCAGAACAACAUGCAGGAAUGAAGCCGUCACCUUUUGCUUUUACUUACAUUUCCUGACCUGUUUGCACAUUCCUGUUCUCACUGAUAGACAUGAUUUCACUGUUGUUGUUUAUUUGAUAGCUGAUUAUUACGACCGCGCCCUGCAGCCACUGAAGAAAUUUUUAGACUAAUCUCCAAAUCCCCCCCCCCCCCAAAAAAACAUGGAGAUUU